Molecule: transfer RNA, 66 nt
Filed under: Agrypnus binodulus
Lineage: Eukaryota; Metazoa; Arthropoda; Insecta; Coleoptera; Elateridae
Description: tRNA-Leu
Source: RNAcentral
GUUACUUUGGCAGAUUAGUGCAAUUGAUUUAGGAUCUUUUUAUGUGGGUUUAUUCCAUAGGUAAUA